UACAGAGGGUGCGAGCGUUAAUCGGAGUUACUGGGCGUAAAGGGCGCGUAGGCGGUUAUAUAAGUGAGAUGUGAAAUCCCUGGGCUUAACCUAGGAACUGCAUCUCAUACUGUAUGACUGGAGUAUUGUAGAGGUAGUGGAAUUUCCGGUGUAGCGGUGAAAUGCGUAGAGAUCGGAAGGAACACCAGUGGCGAAGGCGGCUACCUGGACAAAUACUGACGCUGAGGCGCGAGAGCGUGGGGAGCAAACAGG
RNAcentral lists this ribosomal RNA (252 nucleotides) under uncultured bacterium. RNAcentral's name for it is "partial 16S ribosomal RNA". It matches the Rfam family "Bacterial small subunit ribosomal RNA", at positions 524 to 776 of the family's 1533-position model. The record is from RNAcentral.